GUGUUCGCUUCGGUAGCACGUAUACUAAAAAUCGGAAUGAUACAGAGAAGAUUAGGAUGGCCUCUGCGCAAGGAUGACACGCGAAUUCGUGAAGCAUUCCAUAUAAAA
Small nuclear RNA from Suncus etruscus (white-toothed pygmy shrew), 108 nucleotides. The record is from RefSeq and is a predicted model, not a curated record. NCBI's taxonomy places the organism in Eukaryota, Metazoa, Chordata, Mammalia, Eulipotyphla, Soricidae.